This 411-nucleotide unclassified non-coding RNA is filed under the name fungal sp. Its description in RNAcentral is "partial internal transcribed spacer region". The stretch from base 1 to 46 matches the Rfam family "Eukaryotic small subunit ribosomal RNA", at positions 1786 to 1831 of the family's 1831-position model. Lineage: Eukaryota; Fungi. The record is from RNAcentral.
AAGUCGUAACAAGGUUUCCGUAGGUGAACCUGCGGAAGGAUCAUUAACACGUAUCCACGUAUUAACCAACUGGUAACUCGUUUUCAACCCUCCCUGUGAUUGUACAUGAAUUGGAUAGGCGGUGAGAUUAAUUGAUUGGGGCUAUUCUCGAGUAGUCUAAGUCUCACUUUCCGACACGUAAGAUUUCGGUCUUGCAUACAAUUGUAGUUCUGACACAGAUAACCCCUCCUCGAUGGUUCUCCAUUCAAGAACUGUUGAUGAGACCCUAUACACACCUAUUUCACCCCUUUUUUGCUAGUUGACUUUUUAUAUGUUGUUACUGAUGAUCGAUUCACUUCUUUUAUCUGUUUCACACGUUUAAUUACUUGAACGUUAAAAUUACAACUCUUAGCAAUGGAUAUCUUGGUUCUC